AAAAGACCAUCGAGGGUUCACUCGGCGUCCGAGUCGAGACGAUGAGUGUUGCGGAAGCAGGGCCUGCAGACCUUCCUCUAUCGCGCGAUUUCUCUACCACUCACUCUGUGCUCCACCUGCUUCUCCGAUUCGAUCUCCUUCCUCUCGCCGCGGGAGUCCGGUGCCCUCCUGCUUCCGGACGCGGAGAAUGGAGCCAUCAAAGUAUGAUGAACGGAAGCCUACUGAUCCAAGCAGCAGCUUUUCACUGCAAAAUGAGGAUGCAAAAUUUACCAAGGAAGCAGACUAGUUGCUCGUCUUGAUUAUCAAAACAAAUCCAUCUUUUCAUGAUGACUUCAAAAUGUGGAACCGGUAUCAAUCAUUCCUCCGAGAGCUUUAUGGAUCACUGGGAUUCUAGGGUACAACUAGUGUCAAGCUCAUUGUUUCUGAGCCCCCCCAAUAUUAACGACUAGUGUGCCAAAAGGAAAGAGUUUUGUCUUCCCAAUCUGCAAAACAAGAAAACUCAAGGAUUUAGGAUAAAUGAACAAAAAGAAAGUGUAUCUUACUUA
Long non-coding RNA from Musa acuminata AAA Group (dessert banana), 545 nucleotides. RefSeq lists it as uncharacterized. The record is from RefSeq and is a predicted model, not a curated record. Lineage: Eukaryota; Viridiplantae; Streptophyta; Magnoliopsida; Zingiberales; Musaceae. The transcript has 2 exons.